This 301-nucleotide ribosomal RNA is filed under the name uncultured bacterium. Its description in RNAcentral is "partial 16S ribosomal RNA". It matches the Rfam family "Bacterial small subunit ribosomal RNA", at positions 509 to 809 of the family's 1533-position model. The record is from RNAcentral.
CAGUAGCCGCGGGAAUACGUAGGUGGCAAGCGUUGUCCGGAAUUAUUGGGCGUAAAGGGCUCGCAGGCGGUUUCUUAAGUCUGAUGUGAAAGCCCCCGGCUCGACCGGGGAGGGUCAUUGGAAACUGGGAAACUUGAGUGCAGAAGAGGAGAGUGGAAUUCCACGUGUAGCGGUGAAAUGCGUAGAGAUGUGGAGGAACACCAGUGGCGAAGGCGACUCUCUGGUCUGUAACUGACGCUGAGGAGCGAAAGCGUGGGGAGCGAACAGGAUUAGAGACCCCUGUAGUCCCUGUCUCUUAUAA